RNAcentral lists this ribosomal RNA (430 nucleotides) under uncultured bacterium. RNAcentral's name for it is "bacterial SSU rRNA". It matches the Rfam family "Bacterial small subunit ribosomal RNA", at positions 355 to 776 of the family's 1533-position model. The record is from RNAcentral.
UGGGGAAUAUUGCGCAAUGGGCGAAAGCCUGACGCAGCAACGCCGUGUGAGGGAUGAAGGCUUUCGGGUCGUAAACCUCUGCCAGAAGGGAAGAACGGGUGAGGGUCUAACAGGCCUUUAUUUUGACGGUACCUUCAGAGGAAGCACCGGCUAACUCCGUGCCAGCAGCCGCGGUAAUACGGAGGGUGCAAGCGUUAUUCGGAAUUACUGGGCGUAAAGCGCACGUAGGCGGCCUUGUAAGUCAGGGGUGAAAUCCCACGGCUCAACCGUGGAACUGCCCUUGAAACUGCGGGGCUUGAAUCCUGGAGAGGGUGGCGGAAUUCCUGGUGUAGGAGUGAAAUCCGUAGAUAUCAGGAGGAACACCGGUGGCGAAGGCGGCCACCUGGACAGGCAUUGACGCUGAGGUGCGAAAGUGUGGGGAGCAAACAGG